UUAUAUGUGUACAGGCAUCGGAAUAUUCCAGUUUACGUGGUUGUUAUAAGUAUGCCUGAGCUGCCAUUUCUAAAUACCUAGCCUACAGCUAAGUAUCUAAAUAUGAGCAUAUAUCCAUGAGCAUGAGCAUAGAUUCCAGGGAUGGGAAUCGGAAUUAUGGAAUCGGAAUAGUGUCUUAAUGUGAAUCGGGUAAUCGGAUUGCGGGUGUUUAUAUGUCUCAGUACUAAUCAAAUUCCGAUUAAUAUCAGAAUAUUGAUGUGCAUGUAAACGUAACCAGUGAUAAUUUCGAGUUUCGAAUCUAAGUACCAUAGAAAUGGUUCUGGACCUCAAUUCCACAUGGACGUUCUCGCUGUGGUUGCUGGGACUACGGUUGCUGCGAUGUCCUUGGGACUGCAAUUACCACAUGCAGUUUUACACUCAGGUCUCCUUUAGUGAACAGUGGACUAGUUCAACAAACAGACUUCAUAUAAAACCAUAAUGACCUUUCUUUUACUCUCACACUAUCCGUCGUUACCCAGAUGAGGACGGGUUUCCUUCUGAGUCUGGUUCCUCUCAAGGUUUCUUCCUCGUAUCAUCUCAGGGAGUUUUUCCUCACCACCACCGUCUCGCUCAACAGGGAUAAAUCCACACACUUAAAAUCUCUAUCCUGUGUUUAUAUGUUUCCGUAAAGCCGCUUUGAGACAAUAUCCAUUGUAAAAAGUGCCAUACAAAUAAAAUAAAACUGAAAAAUUUUAAAUAUCUGUGUGCAAACAAACAUCUCAAUCAACUCGAUCUGGCUAAAGUUCUUCAUUUUGUUAAGAGAUAUACAAAUAUCAGGCCCAGAUAUACCAUAGCAAGUGUUUAAAGCUGUUACCAUAGACAUGAAUUUGACUUUAUGCCUUCUCAUGGCACAGUAUCAGUUUUAAACUCCUUAUUGAAGAUUUUGCAGUGAGUAUUAUAUUUACACCAAAAGACCGAGACAUCUUUCUGUUCAAGAAAGAAAAUUGGCACGAGCGAACAAACAACCGCAGACUAGCCUAUUUUCUGGCAUCUAAGAGAUGUUUUCCUGCAUUUCCUUGUUGUUUUUGUUUGUUUGUUUUUUUAGUGUACUAGCUGCUUAGUGUUUUUUUUUUUGGGGGGGGGGGGUGCAAAAAAGAAAUAUAUCUUGGAGGGGGAAAAAAGAGGAUUUAUGGCACACUUAACAGUAGGAUUACAUGAGCAGGUUUAAUAUACAUAGCUGUUUAUCUACAAUGAAAUAUUUUAGCGAGUACAAAAUACUUGCUUGAAGUAAUUAGGUUUAGGAAAUGGCACAAAGCGAGAUAUUGUUUGAAAAUUGAAACAGCGCUAAGGAAAGAAAAGCUCUCGUCUCUGAAAGCUAAAUCGCCUCCUGUCUCUGCUCAAAAAUGGCACAUAGCUUUGUUUCAGGUACUGAAAAAAAAAAAAAAUCAUUGCUUCCCCUGAGCCCAUCUUUCAACAAAGCAACACUGAAUUUAAUGAAUGAGGUGUGGUGCCAAAGUGUGUGCCGAGGCCCUGCGCAACUCCACAUCAGAAGGACAGACUCCACAGAAAAAACACAGAGUGCAGCUCGAUGAAAGCCCACACUCCACUAACACACCCUGCGAGAGGAUGUCAUCACUAAUAGAGACUCAGCUAAAUGCAUUUCCAAAAUACUGUGCUGCUCUCCUUCCUGCUAUAGUGGAAAAUAAGGUUAGCAGCUGAAAACAACAGCAACAACAACACCUCUGCUAACGGAACAUUUGGAACGUUAUUUCUAAUAUAUUUCCUCGUAAACAUAGCCAAACGGAGUUACUGUUACCACCCUGAAGUUUAUUUCCUAUAAUAGCACAGUAUUGUAUUCCUAUUAUACCAAAGAUGACAUUUUUUAUCCUUUUAUAACUACAUUUAAAGAUGUGGAACAAGUUAGUACCUGUUGUCAUUUACGUCAUCCCCUCAACGCAGCUUGUUACAUUAGCAAGAAACCGUAAAGCGUAAACUCGUCCAAUCAUGAAGACUUUCCCAAAUCAGUGUUACAGAACUGACUGGAGGCUCCUUCCAUAAUUGUUAAACAAACAUCGCCUCACAGAUAAACUUCAUAUCAACGAUGAUGUGUUUCAAUUCAUUAACUAACAGCAUGUUACUGCGAAUGAGCUAUUACUAUAGAAAUUAGUUUAAGGUCCUAGGUUCUAUGUGGCAUUUGCUAAUAAUCUGCAUAAUGGACUUGAUCAUUUCAUGUCACUGAGUGUUUUUUUUUUUUUUGUGACAUCACAGACCAAGCCUCUGAUUUAAAUGGAAAAAUCUAGAAGAUUUGAGCUAUUGUAGAAAAGCAAAUUCCUGAUGAGUUACCCAUACAGUAUGUACGAAUACGUAUAGCGUUCUCUACAAUAAAUAUAAACUAGUCUUUCGAAGAACCAAUGCCACAUGGAAAACAUCUUGCCACAUGUUUGAACAAUUCAGAAGUGAUGCUUUUACAUCCCAACGGCGCAUGGUUAAUAUUCUGGGCUCGGCUAAGCCGUGUUAUCUGGGUCAUAAAAGCCAUCCAGCACCCUGCUGCCACUAAAGCUGAUUUAUACCGGCUCCUGCCCCUGAUAUGCAUAUCGUUAAGCAUCAUAAUUAUUCCCCUUGACGAGUCGACGUAUCCGGUCGCCUCUGGGUCAUGUGACUUCAUUUAUGAGAAUGUGGUCAAUCACGCCGGUUUGGGAGUGAGCUCACUGGAGACGUUACAAAGCUCAUAAAGCACAGUGGCUGAUAAAAUAUACUUAAAUGAAGCCGACCACAUUCAUGGCCGGCUUCAAUUCAGUUCCACAGAGAACCUUCAUGAAUUUUCUCAGAAGACAAAACAAAUAUCCUGUUAAUAUAUAGAAUAACAAUAAUAGUACAAUAUAGUAGAAUUAUAGUAUAGUGUAAUAUACCAGAACUAAAGUACACCAGACUAAAGACAUAAUAUAUUACAAUGUAUUAGAUUUAUAAUGUAUCAUUGUCAAACCAUUAUAUAGUACAACGUAGCAGAACUAUAGUGUUCCAUAGUAAAGCAAUAGUAUAGUACAGCAUAGUAGAACCAAACUGGAUCAUAGCAGAAUUGUGUACUAUAGUAAAACCAUGAUGUAGGUGCACCCAGGUGCCGGUUCAGUCUCUUGUCAUUUCGAGACUGGACUACUGCAUCUCAGUCCUGGCAGGUCUGCCUCCGCUUGAAAUGGGGAAAAGUUCGCAGAAAUAACAACAAACAAAACAAAAAAAAAACAAAAUACAAAACACUACAUUGUACUAUAAUUAUGGAUCGAUAAUGUACCGUAGUAAAACUUGCAUUGUGCAAUAUAGUAGCAUUUUAAUGUACCAUAGUAAAACCAUAGUAUAGUACAAUAGAGUACCAAAAAUACCCACAUAGCAUACUAUAGUAUAGCCAUAGUAUGUCAGGAUUAAUGUAUGUAUGUAGGUAAACAUUAGACUACCAUAAAGGUAUAGUAUACCCUGGUAAAUCAUACUGUACUAUAGCAAAAACAUAGUAUUCUUUAGUAAACAAUAGGGAAUAGCUCUACUCUGGGUUCCCAGAGGAACAAUUAGAACCUUUUUAACCAAGUGUAUAGUUUAUCCAUACACACUUUUACUGCCUUUUUCCCAGCAGAAGAAUGUUUCCAACACCUCUGUUAGAAAAAAAAAGUACUUGUGAUGUCUUUCUCCGUCUGUCAGGAGAGCUGGGAGUGAGGCAGCCUGGUGUAGAGAUAAAGGGAAAUAGUGGUGUUUGCAGAGUAACACAGUGGCAGGGAGAUGCAGUAGAUUAGGUCGAGGCCUUCACCUUCUAUUCCCGUAAAUAUAUCAGCACAGAGAGUUGUCAAAGCCAGCAAAGCUACCGCUCCAUCUCGCCUCAGAGAAAAGUACAUCUCAUAGCUAGCUCUACAGUAGCAAGCCUAUCUCCAGCUCAAGUUCCCAAUUUCUCUGCCUUUUUGCUCUCCGUUCAUAUAGCGCUCCCUCUUUCUUUUACAGUUCCUAACCUUCUCUCUCUCUCUCUCUUAACUUUACCCAAUCCUUCAUUCUGUUUCUCAGUUUUUCAUAAAUCUGAUCUCGCGAGGUGUUCCCUGAAAUCAAAUACCUCACCCAUAAGGGUAACAGUCCGGAAAAUUGCAUACACCAAGGGCCGGAAAAAGAGCAUGAAGUGUGUCAGGCAUUUUGACAAAACAUAUACUACUAUAUACUCCAGCCUUAAUGUAACGCCAUGGUGUUGUUUUUUUUUUUUUUUUUUAAACUUCCUCGUUUCUGUGAUCAGAGAAGAAGAAACUCUUUGUUUCCAGUCUCAUACCCUCGUCAUACCCUUCACGUGUCCGCUAUGACAGACGGCUCAUAAAACCUUUUCGAUGUGUUGUAAAAAUGGAAAUGACUCUUUCUGGAUGGAACGGGGAAAAUAGGUGAACGUGAGACUUGUUCCAAUUUAUUAUUUUUUUUCUGGGUGGCAAUAUACACGCGAUGCAGUUCCAGUUCCUCUUAGUCUUCCUUUCUUUCUGUUCAUUUCUCUCUCUCUUUCUCUCUCUCUCUCUCUCAUUUUCAUUACUUUACUGUUUAUUCUGUCUUCCCAAUUUCCCUUUUUUUAAUUUUUUUUUUUUAUUUAAAAAAUGGACUUUUCUUAUCUCUUUAAUUAAUCUGAAUUCCUGAACAACUUCCUGACCAAAGGCAAUUUAAAUUGAACGCACUCAUUUUCACAAAGGAAUGAGGUGUGCCUUCCUUUCCUCCAAACACACGCAAAUAUGGUAAAGUAUUAAUUUACCAAAUAAUCUCUUGAGAAAUAUGUAUGGAUUCAAACAAGGGUGGUGUUGUUGGAUUUCAUUCAAUAUCAUAUAAAUAUAAGAAAGUGCACAGAUCUCUAACCCAUAUCUCUAACCCUAACCACAACCUUUGUAACCUUUCAUAUGAUUUAAGUUGUGUGAAUUGUUACAAGUGAAAAAAAAAACAAAAAAACAAUCCAUUUGUAUUUAAAAUGAUAUCACUAAAUGCUACGUGUGAAUAAAUAUGCAUAAACAUUUGUGAAUCCCUUACUGGAAAAUAUUGCCAAUGCAACUAUAAAGCGAUAAGGUUCAAUGUGUCGCUUUUUAGAUUAGAGAUAAUUGGCAAGCUGUUAUUUCCGUUGUUUUAUCUCUGACCCGCGUGUGGGGUUUGAGCUGAAAUUUGAUCUGCGGUUGGAUAAGGGCGCUGUGAUCUCCCUCACAGGAUCUGAUGCAUAAUGGACUUUUUUUUCUGCCUGAAUCUGAAGGUCAGUUGGAUUUUUCUUUUUGUCCCAAUUCAUGCAAGAGUCCAGCAUGGGGAUUUGCACCGAAUUAAACUGCUUGAAAUGGGGCAAAGAAAGAUCGCUGAGAUAAAAAAAAACAAAAACAAAUGAAACAGCUAUGCCUCUGGUAGAGUAACACUGUGAGCUGCAUUUAUCAUUUUCCACUUUUACAACAAGAUGAGCGUGUACACUUGAAUAUGAUUUUACAAACGCAAAACCAUAGAGUACCAUAAAAAAUAUAUCACAAUACCCAUAACACUAUCCACACCCGUCCAUAGCAUAGAGGGUUCCAUGGUAUAGUAUAACCAUGAUGUAUAGUAAAAGUAAAAUGACAGUAUACUACACUCUGAUCAUUCUGUACCAGAGUAACACCGCAGUGUUCCAUUGCACACCAUUGAAGACUAUUAAAAAAUACUAUAGUAUAACUACUGUAUAGUGUUCUGUAGUAAACCACAGAGUUGCAUAGUAUAGUCUAGUAUAAUCAUGGCGUACCAUAGUAAAAUCACAGUAUACUAAAGCACGAUCACAGUGUACCACAGUAAAAGCAUAAUAUUAUGUAGUAAAUCAUAAAAUAUCAUUAAAAAAUAUAUAGUAUACCACAGGAUAAGCAGUGUUCUAUAGUAUAGUACUGUAUAACCGCAGACUUCCAUGGUAUAGUAUAUUAUAACCAUGAUGUACCAUAUUAAAAUCACAGUAUACUACACUAUGAUCAUAUUGUACAAGAGUACUACCAUAGUGUUCCACUGUAAACCAGAGUGGUAUAUUUAAAAAUAGUAUAGUUUAGUAUAACCAUAGAGUCAUGUAGUAUAUGGCAUAGUGUAUUAUAACCAUGAUGUACCAUGGCAAAAUCACUGUGCAUACUACACUAUGAUAAUACUGUACCAGAGCACUACCAUAAUAUUCUGUAGUUAACCACAGAGUUGUAUAGUAUAGUAUAGUAUAGUAUAGUAUAAUCACGUAUAGUAUAGUAUAAUCACGGUGUAAGUAAAACAUAAUAUUCUGUAGUUAACCACAGAGUUGUAUAGUAUAGUAUAGUAUAGUAUAGUAUAUUAUAGUAUAAUCACGGUGUAAGUAAAACAUAAUAUUCUGUAGUUAACCACAGAGUUGUAUUGUAUAGUAUAGUAUAUUAUAGUAUAAUUACGGUGUAAGUAAGACACAAUAUUCUGUAGUUAACCACAGAGUUGUAUAGUAUAGUAUAGUAUAGUAUAGCAUAAUCACGGUGUAAGUAAAACAUAAUAUUCUGUAGUUAACCACAGAGUUGUGUUGUAUAGUAUAGUAUAGUAUAGCUAUUGGUUAACUAUGUGAACAAUAUACGGGUUAAUGAAAUUUGCAAAUCAUUGCAUUCUGUUUCUAUUUACAUUUUACACCAUGUCCCAUUCUUUUGGAAUUGGGGUUGUAUUUAAUUAUGUUAUACUAUGAGGAACAUACUGUGAUUUUUUUUUUGGCACUCUACGCUAUAGGUGUGCAAAAUAAUAUUCAAGUGGCUAUGCUAAAAAAAAUGGUUAUAUAUUGCUGUGCAAGCAUUAGGGGUUUACUUCUGGACGGAGAACCUCACCUGUUACAGAGCUGUCCAAGUUGUCCAUGCUGGAUCCUGGUGUGUUUUCAAUGCACCGGUGCGGCGGUGGUGACAUCUUGUAACCUUCAUCUUCCUCGUCCUCCUCCUCUUCCUCAUCAUCAUCCUCGUCUUCGUCAGCGAGAUCUGUUUCAAUGUCGGACAUGAGGGUGCUGGACAUGUAGCCCACGGGAGGAGCAGGGGCUUGAGGAGGAUACGGGCCUCCCUGCAUGUGCCUGUGGAAAAUUAAACCCAUCAGCAAACACACACACACACACACACACACACACACACACACACACACACACACACACACACACACAUCAAGCCAAGCCCAGACAUUUCCAUAUUUGAGUGGAGGCUCAGACAGGAUGUCAGCCAGAGACAAAAGGUGUCAAGAGACGCAGCGAGAUGAAUGGGGAAACAUGUAGAGGAGGAGGUAUCUGUCACGGCAAAUUUGCGAUUCCUGGAACACUCCACGUCAAGCUUCAGAUGAAUUGGGACAAUUCGACUAAUUCAACGCUGCUACAUUUUGCAUGCUAACACAAUGACCCCACUAAUUGCAGCUGAGGAGGACACAAUACCAAACUUCACAGGCAUGCUAACACCGUGGCUGUCACCUCCUAAACAGCCAGGUCUGCUGACAGGCCCAGUGUGUGCGUGUUAGUGUGUACGUGAGUGUCAAUGUGACCAUCUUUGAUGCGGCUAUGCCUGGAUUUGAAUAUAAUAAUGGGCUCUUCUCUGUUGUCAAAGAUUUACUUGAAGCAACAUAGUCAUUACUCAAGUAACAUGACAUUUCCUUCUUGACAAGUGGAGCCUAUUCCCCGUGAGGAAGUGCAGAAAUGAAUAUGUGCCAGUUUUCAUGACUGAGGGACAGGAUGAAGCAUGUGGCUCAUUUGCUUUGCAUGAAAGCCAUAAAAAAGGAAUAGUUUAUACGCCCGCACUGACAUGCACCAGUGAACGAUUUUAAAUAGGGUUUUAGCAUUAAUUCCAGGCCUUUGAUUUUUUUUCCCUCCAGGUCUAAAGAAAAAGUUUGGAAAAUUAGCCACAGGAUUGUGAUUAAUUGGUUUUGCCAGGAAGUUAAAUGCCGUGGCCAUGUGGCUGAGAGCAGUCUAUAUUUAUAUAUAUCGAAAGAACUUUUUUUGGGGGGUAUAAAUUACAGUCUGGACCUUUGUAUCGAGCUCAUAUUUCAUUUCCAUGCACAAAUAUUGUAUACGGAGGAAUAGAAAAAUGAGAGAAAUUAAAGAUGGAAAGGAAAAAGGAAAGAAACAAAAGAAGCAAAGAAAUAAAGGAGGGAAAUGAAAUGGGGGGGGGAUGAAAGAUGAAAAAAGAAGGAGAAACAGAAGAAGUAAGUGAAGGAAAGAAAAGAAAGAAGGAAAUAAGUAGACAAACAGUAGAAACAAAGGAAGGAAAGAAACGGAAGAAGAAAAAAGUAGGAAAGAAUUGAAAAAAGAAUGAAAUGACAAAAUAAAGGAAUUAAAUGAAAAAGCGAAGAGCGAUGGAAAGAAACAACUAAAGAAGGAUAAAAUCAAAACUUACAGAUAGAAAAAAAUGGGAAAAAUAAAUAAAUGUAGGACAGAAAGAAAAAUAAAAACAAAAGAACGAAAGAAAUGGAAGAAGGAAAAAGUAGGAAAGAAAUUUUUACAAAAAGAAUGAAAGAACAAAAUAAAGGAAAUAAAUGAAAAAAAGAAAGAAUGACGGAAAGAAAAAAAAGUAAAGGAUGGCAAAAACAAAAACACAAGAAAAAAAGGAGGAAAGAAAUGAAAAAAUUGCAGAAUCAAAACAGGAAAGAAAAA
Molecule: long non-coding RNA, 8578 nt
Organism: Ictalurus punctatus (channel catfish)
Lineage: Eukaryota; Metazoa; Chordata; Actinopteri; Siluriformes; Ictaluridae
Source: Ensembl